RNAcentral lists this ribosomal RNA (292 nucleotides) under uncultured prokaryote. RNAcentral describes it as "partial 16S ribosomal RNA". It matches the Rfam family "Bacterial small subunit ribosomal RNA", at positions 505 to 796 of the family's 1533-position model. The record is from RNAcentral.
GUGUCAGGAGCCGCGGUAAUACAGAGGGUGCGAGCGUUAAUCGGAUUUACUGGGCGUAAAGCGUUCGUAGGCGGCUUUUCAAGUCGGAUGUGAAAUCCCUGAGCUUAACUUAGGAAUUGCAUUCGAUACUGGGAAGCUAGAGUAUGGGAGAGGAUGGUAGAAUUCCAGGUGUAGCGGUGAAAUGCGUAGAGAUCUGGAGGAAUACCGAUGACGAAGGCAGCCAUCUGGCCUAAUACUGACGCUGAGGUACGAAAGCAUGGGGAGCAAACAGGCUUAGAAACCCUCGUAGUCC